GGAAAAUACACCCGAAGCACAGGAGGGGAGGGGAUCUUGGUGUAGGAAUGUGAGUACCAGGCACAAGAUCAUCUGGACUAAAGAAGAUUCCCGGUCUCCCUUCAAGCUAGGUGUGUUUGUGUGCUGGAAAAUGGCAUCCAGAGGAGGAUUAUCUGCCCUGAAAGAAACAACUUGGUGAUCACAGAAAAAUCAAUCAGUGCAUUCUCUGGAGAUUACAAUAUGCAUCCUUAAUUUAUCACAGUAUAUUUCAAGUUAACAUUGUGUCACUCCAUGUAAAGUGAAAUAAUCGUACAACAAAGAGUGAUAUGGCCUUGGAAAGAGUGGGCUACAACGAGACCACUCAGAAAGCUUUGUAUGUGUUUCCUGAUAUCAAGGGACUUUGUAACCUGGAGACAAAUGCUCACCUCAUCUCUCUAGAGGAUGCAAAAAC
This 430-nucleotide long non-coding RNA is filed under the name Equus caballus (horse). RNAcentral's name for it is "lncRNA (ENSECAG00000049106.1)". Lineage: Eukaryota; Metazoa; Chordata; Mammalia; Perissodactyla; Equidae. The record is from RNAcentral.